This 457-nucleotide small RNA is filed under the name Oryza sativa Japonica Group (Japanese rice). RNAcentral's name for it is "sRNA Os12g0281966". Lineage: Eukaryota; Viridiplantae; Streptophyta; Magnoliopsida; Poales; Poaceae. The record is from RNAcentral.
CUAAUCCAUUCAUUUUUCUCCUUCCUCCCCCUUUGUGGCGGCUGGUAGACUGAGCUGCGACGUGCAAGCAGCCGGCGCCGGCGGCAUGGGAGCAGCAUGACCCCGUCGUCCUCUGCUUUCCCAACACGAUCUUCUCCCUCCAUCUUCUCCCUUAGUCCCCAAUUCGCAUUCCCUUUCCCUUGCUGAUGGUCUCGUGCAAUCAAAUCUGCAGUGGACGGUGGCCGUGUGCGGAACAAUGGCGCCGGUGCUAAAAGGUAACAAAGCCGGCAGCCGGAUCAUGGAUAGGGGCAACACAACUGCCUAGUCCCCAGAUGCACCCAUUAACAUUGGUUAUGCCAUGCUCAACGGUGCAAUGCAUUUGUUCUUCGCUGAUGCUUGGAUAGUUGGAUGUGCCAAUAUUGUAAUUCUCCUUGUGUGUUGAUCCUCGUAUGAUUGCCUAUUCAUUUUUUUCUGUUUU